CCUACGGGAGGCAGCAGUGGGGAAUAUUGGACAAUGGGGGCAACCCUGAUCCAGCCAUGCCGCGUGUGUGAAGAAGGCCCUCGGGUUGUAAAGCACUUUUAGUGAGGAAGAACGCCUGGUGGUUAAUACCCAUCAGGAAAGACAUCACUCACAGAAGAAGCACCGGCUAACUCCGUGCCAGCAGCCGCGGUAAUACGGAGGGUGCGAGCGUUAAUCGGAAUUACUGGGCGUAAAGCGCGCGUAGGUGGCUUGAUAAGCCGGUUGUGAAAGCCCCGGGCUCAACCUGGGAACGGCAUCCGGAACUGUCAAGCUAGAGUGCAGGAGAGGAAGGUAGAAUUCCCGGUGUAGCGGUGAAAUGCGUAGAGAUCGGGAGGAAUACCAGUGGCGAAGGCGGCCUUCUGGACUGACACUGACACUGAGGUGCGAAAGCGUGGGUAGCAAACAGGAUUAGAUACCCGGGUAGUC
Molecule: ribosomal RNA, 465 nt
Filed under: Vreelandella stevensii
Lineage: Bacteria; Pseudomonadati; Pseudomonadota; Gammaproteobacteria; Oceanospirillales; Halomonadaceae
Description: partial 16S ribosomal RNA
Rfam family: Bacterial small subunit ribosomal RNA
Source: RNAcentral